RNAcentral lists this ribosomal RNA (436 nucleotides) under uncultured bacterium. RNAcentral's name for it is "bacterial SSU rRNA". It matches the Rfam family "Bacterial small subunit ribosomal RNA", at positions 958 to 1392 of the family's 1533-position model. The record is from RNAcentral.
AACGCAAAGAACCUUACCAAGUCUUGACAUCCCUCUGACCGGAGCCUAACGGUUCCUUCCCUACGGGGCAGGGGGAGACAGGUGGUGCAUGGUUGUCGUCAGCUCGUGUCGUGAGAUGUUGGGUUAAGUCCCGCAACGAGCGCAACCCUUAUCCUUAGUAGCCAGCAAGUGAAGUUGGGCACUCUGGGGAGACUGCCAGGGAUAACCUGGAGGAAGGUGGGGAUGACGUCAAAUCAUCAUGCCCCUUAUGACCUGGGCUACACACGUAAUACAAUGGCAAUUAACAACGGGGCGCAAUACCGCGAGGUGGAGCAAAUCCCAAAAAAUUGUCUCAGUUCGGAUCGCAGGCUGCAACUCGCCUGCGUGAAGUCGGAAUUGCUAGUAAUCGCGGAUCAGCAUGCCGCGGUGAAUACGUUCCCGGGUCUUGUACACACCG